UUAAGCGACUAAGCGUACACGGUGGAUGCCCUGGCAGUCAGAGGCGAUGAAGGACGUGCUAAUCUGCGAUAAGCGUCGGUAAGGUGAUAUGAACCGUUAUAACCGGCGAUUUCCGAAUGGGGAAACCCAGUGUGUUUCGACACACUAUCAUUAACUGAAUCCAUAGGUUAAUGAGGCGAACCGGGGGAACUGAAACAUCUAAGUACCCCGAGGAAAAGAAAUCAACCGAGAUUCCCCCAGUAGCGGCGAGCGAACGGGGAGCAGCCCAGAGCCUGAAUCAGUGUGUGUGUUAGUGGAAGCGUCUGGAAAGGCGCGCGAUACAGGGUGACAGCCCCGUACACAAAAAUGCACAUGCUGUGAGCUCGAUGAGUAGGGCGGGACACGUGGUAUCCUGUCUGAAUAUGGGGGGACCAUCCUCCAAGGCUAAAUACUCCUGACUGACCGAUAGUGAACCAGUACCGUGAGGGAAAGGCGAAAAGAACCCCGGCGAGGGGAGUGAAAAAGAACCUGAAACCGUGUACGUACAAGCAGUGGGAGCACGCUUAGGCGUGUGACUGCGUACCUUUUGUAUAAUGGGUCAGCGACUUAUAUUCUGUAGCAAGGUUAACCGAAUAGGGGAGCCGAAGGGAAACCGAGUCUUAACUGGGCGUUAAGUUGCAGGGUAUAGACCCGAAACCCGGUGAUCUAGCCAUGGGCAGGUUGAAGGUUGGGUAACACUAACUGGAGGACCGAACCGACUAAUGUUGAAAAAUUAGCGGAUGACUUGUGGCUGGGGGUGAAAGGCCAAUCAAACCGGGAGAUAGCUGGUUCUCCCCGAAAGCUAUUUAGGUAGCGCCUCGUGAAUUCAUCUCCGGGGGUAGAGCACUGUUUCGGCAAGGGGGUCAUCCCGACUUACCAACCCGAUGCAAACUGCGAAUACCGGAGAAUGUUAUCACGGGAGACACACGGCGGGUGCUAACGUCCGUCGUGAAGAGGGAAACAACCCAGACCGCCAGCUAAGGUCCCAAAGUCAUGGUUAAGUGGGAAACGAUGUGGGAAGGCCCAGACAGCCAGGAUGUUGGCUUAGAAGCAGCCAUCAUUUAAAGAAAGCGUAAUAGCUCACUGGUCGAGUCGGCCUGCGCGGAAGAUGUAACGGGGCUAAACCAUGCACCGAAGCUGCGGCAGCGACGCUGAUGCGUUGUUGGGUAGGGGAGCGUUCUGUAAGCCUGCGAAGGUGUGCUGUGAGGCAUGCUGGAGGUAUCAGAAGUGCGAAUGCUGACAUAAGUAACGAUAAAGCGGGUGAAAAGCCCGCUCGCCGGAAGACCAAGGGUUCCUGUCCAACGUUAAUCGGGGCAGGGUGAGUCGACCCCUAAGGCGAGGCCGAAAGGCGUAGUCGAUGGGAAACAGGUUAAUAUUCCUGUACUUGGUGUUACUGCGAAGGGGGGACGGAGAAGGCUAUGUUGGCCGGGCGACGGUUGUCCCGGUUUAAGCGUGUAGGCUGGUUUUCCAGGCAAAUCCGGAAAAUCAAGGCUGAGGCGUGAUGACGAGGCACUACGGUGCUGAAGCAACAAAUGCCCUGCUUCCAGGAAAAGCCUCUAAGCAUCAGGUAACAUCAAAUCGUACCCCAAACCGACACAGGUGGUCAGGUAGAGAAUACCAAGGCGCUUGAGAGAACUCGGGUGAAGGAACUAGGCAAAAUGGUGCCGUAACUUCGGGAGAAGGCACGCUGAUAUGUAGGUGAAGUCCCUCGCGGAUGGAGCUGAAAUCAGUCGAAGAUACCAGCUGGCUGCAACUGUUUAUUAAAAACACAGCACUGUGCAAACACGAAAGUGGACGUAUACGGUGUGACGCCUGCCCGGUGCCGGAAGGUUAAUUGAUGGGGUCAGCGCAAGCGAAGCUCUUGAUCGAAGCCCCGGUAAACGGCGGCCGUAACUAUAACGGUCCUAAGGUAGCGAAAUUCCUUGUCGGGUAAGUUCCGACCUGCACGAAUGGCGUAAUGAUGGCCAGGCUGUCUCCACCCGAGACUCAGUGAAAUUGAACUCGCUGUGAAGAUGCAGUGUACCCGCGGCAAGACGGAAAGACCCCGUGAACCUUUACUAUAGCUUGACACUGAACAUUGAGCCUUGAUGUGUAGGAUAGGUGGGAGGCUUUGAAGUGUGGACGCCAGUCUGCAUGGAGCCGACCUUGAAAUACCACCCUUUAAUGUUUGAUGUUCUAACGUUGACCCGUGAUCCGGGUUGCGGACAGUGUCUGGUGGGUAGUUUGACUGGGGCGGUCUCCUCCUAAAGAGUAACGGAGGAGCACGAAGGUUGGCUAAUCCUGGUCGGACAUCAGGAGGUUAGUGCAAUGGCAUAAGCCAGCUUGACUGCGAGCGUGACGGCGCGAGCAGGUGCGAAAGCAGGUCAUAGUGAUCCGGUGGUUCUGAAUGGAAGGGCCAUCGCUCAACGGAUAAAAGGUACUCCGGGGAUAACAGGCUGAUACCGCCCAAGAGUUCAUAUCGACGGCGGUGUUUGGCACCUCGAUGUCGGCUCAUCACAUCCUGGGGCUGAAGUAGGUCCCAAGGGUAUGGCUGUUCGCCAUUUAAAGUGGUACGCGAGCUGGGUUUAGAACGUCGUGAGACAGUUCGGUCCCUAUCUGCCGUGGGCGCUGGAGAACUGAGGGGGGCUGCUCCUAGUACGAGAGGACCGGAGUGGACGCAUCACUGGUGUUCGGGUUGUCAUGCCAAUGGCACUGCCCGGUAGCUAAAUGCGGAAGAGAUAAGUGCUGAAAGCAUCUAAGCACGAAACUUGCCCCGAGAUGAGUUCUCCCUGACUCCUUGAGAGUCCUGAAGGAACGUUGAAGACGACGACGUUGAUAGGCCGGGUGUGUAAGCGCAGCGAUGCGUUGAGCUAACCGGUACUAAUGAACCGUGAGGCUUAACCU
RNAcentral lists this ribosomal RNA (2901 nucleotides) under Escherichia coli. RNAcentral describes it as "23S ribosomal RNA". It matches the Rfam family "Bacterial large subunit ribosomal RNA". Lineage: Bacteria; Pseudomonadati; Pseudomonadota; Gammaproteobacteria; Enterobacterales; Enterobacteriaceae. The record is from RNAcentral.